CGAGGCCGCGUGCGUUCGCCCGCCCGGCCCCGCUCCUUACCUUGCCUACUGCACCGUUUGUUGCUUCCUGGCGGCGGACUGCCCGCCGCCAGGGACGUUGAUACAACCCUGUAUAGAAGCAUUGAAGCUCUGAGAAAACGCGAAAUCGUACAACUUUCAACAAUGGAUCUCUUGGUUCUGGCAUCGAUGAAGAACGCAGCGAAAUGCGAUAAGUAGUGUGAAUUGCAGAAUUCAGUGAAUCAUCGAAUCUUUGAACGCACAUUGCGCCCCUUGGCAUUCCAUGGGGCAUGCCUGUUCGAGCGUCAUCUAAACCCUCAAGCCCCCGGCUUGGUGUUGGGUGCCUGUCCCCGCCCCCCGCGCGGACUCACCCCAAAUGCAUUGGCAGCCGCCUCUCGGCUUCUUGCGCAGCACAGUGCGCAGCGAGGCGAGGUGAGGCGUGCGUCCAGCAAGCAACCACCCAAGUUUGACCUCGGAUCAGGUAGGGAUACCCGCUGAACUUAAGCAUAUCAAUAAGCGGAGGAAAAGAAACCAACUGGGAUUGCCCUAGUAACGGCGAGUGAAGCGGCAACAGCUCAAAUUUGAAAUCUGGCCUCCUUCGGUGGUCCGAGUUGUAAUUUGCAGAGGGUGCUUUGGCGUUGGCAGCGGUCUAAGUUCCUUGGAACAGGACGUCACAGAGGGUGAGAAUCCCGUACGUGGUCGCCCGCCUCCGCCGUGUAAAGCCCCUUCGACGAGUCGAGUUGUUUGGGAAUGCAGCUCUAAAUGGGAGGUAAAUUUCUUCUAAAGCUAAAUACCGGCCAGAGACCGAUAGCGCACAAGUAGAGUGAUCGAAAGAUGAAAAGCACUUUGGAAAGAGAGUCAAAAAGCACGUGAAAUUGUUGAAAGGGAAGCGCUUGCAGCCAGACUUGCCCGUAGUUGCUCACCCGGACUUUUGCCCGGGGCACUCUUCUGCGGGCAGGCCAGCAUCAGUUUGGGCGACCGGAUAACGGCCUCUGUCACGUACCAUCCCUCGGGAUGGCCUUAUAGGGGAGGCGUAAUGCGGCCAGCCUGGACUGA
This 1053-nucleotide ribosomal RNA is filed under the name fungal endophyte. Its description in RNAcentral is "eukaryotic LSU rRNA". The stretch from base 465 to 1053 matches the Rfam family "Eukaryotic large subunit ribosomal RNA", at positions 1 to 592 of the family's 3401-position model. The record is from RNAcentral. Lineage: Eukaryota; Fungi.